AGUGAACGCUGGCGGUAGGCCUAACACAUGCAAGUCGAACGGCAGCACAGUAAGAGCUUGCUCUUACGGGUGGCGAGUGGCGGACGGGUGAGGAAUACAUCGGAAUCUACUUUUUCGUGGGGGAUAACGUAGGGAAACUUACGCUAAUACCGCAUACGACCUACGGGUGAAAGCAGGGGAUCUUCGGACCUUGCGCGAUUGAAUGAGCCGAUGUCGGAUUAGCUAGUUGGCGGGGUAAAGGCCCACCAAGGCGACGAUCCGUAGCUGGUCUGAGAGGAGGAUCAGCCACACGGGAACUGAGAGACGGCCCUGACUCCGACGGGAGGCAGCAGUGGGGAAUGUUGGACAAUGGGCGCAAGCCUGAUCCAGCCAUACCGCGUGGGUGAAGAAGGCCUGCGGGUGGUAAAGCCCUUUUGUUGGGAAAGAAAAGCAGCAGGUUAAUACCCCGCUGUUCUGACGGUACCCAAAGAAUAAGCACCGGCGAACUUCGU
This 491-nucleotide ribosomal RNA is filed under the name uncultured bacterium. RNAcentral's name for it is "partial 16S ribosomal RNA". It matches the Rfam family "Bacterial small subunit ribosomal RNA", at positions 29 to 506 of the family's 1533-position model. The record is from RNAcentral.